CCCGCUCAGGACGAACGCUGGCGGCGUGCCUAAUACAUGCAAGUCGAGCGCGGGAAGCCGGCGGACUCCUUCGGGAGGAAACCGGUGGAACGAGCGGCGGACGGGUGAGUAACACGUGGGCAACCUGCCGGACUGAUGGGAAUAACCCCGGGAAACCGGGGCUAAUGCCCAAUACGCCCUGACCUCGCCUGAGGUCAGCGGUAAAGCAGGGAUCUUCGGAUCCUUGCACAGUCCGAUGGGCCCGCGGCGCAUUAGCUAGUUGGAGAGGUAAGGGCUCCCCAAGGCGACGAUGCGUAGCCGACCUGAGAGGGUGAUCGGCCACACUGGGACUGAGACACGGCCCAGACUCCUACGGGAGGCAGCAGUAGGGAAUCAUCCGCAAUGGGCGAAAGCCUGACGGUGCAACGCCGCGUGAGUGAUGAAGGUUUUCGGAUCGUAAAGCUCUGUUGACAGGGAAGAACCCACGCCAGUCGAACAGGCUGGCGUGCUGACGGUACCUGUCCAGAAAGCCCCGGCUAACUACGUGCCAGCAGCCGCGGUAAUACGUAGGGGGCAAGCGUUGUCCGGAAUUAUUGGGCGUAAAGGGCACGCAGGCGGUUUCGUCAGUCCGAUGUGACAGGCCACGGCUCAACCGUGGAAGGCCAUUGGAAACUGCGAAACUUGAGGACAGAAGAGG
RNAcentral lists this ribosomal RNA (676 nucleotides) under Marinococcus sp. SCULCB HBCM-4. Its description in RNAcentral is "bacterial SSU rRNA". It matches the Rfam family "Bacterial small subunit ribosomal RNA", at positions 19 to 657 of the family's 1533-position model. Lineage: Bacteria; Bacillati; Bacillota; Bacilli; Caryophanales; Bacillaceae. The record is from RNAcentral.